CUGGCUCAGAAUCAACGCUGGCGGCGUGCCUAACACAUGCAAGUCGAACGCGAAAGUGGAGCAAUCCAUGAGUAGAGUGGCAAACGGGUGAGUAACGCGUGGGUGACCUGCCUUCGAGUGGGGGAUAACGCUCCGAAAGGGACGCUAAUACCGCAUAACAUCCUGCCUUUUAAGAGGUGGAGAUCAAAGCCUGGGACCGCAAGGCCAGGCGCUGGAAGAGGGGCCCGCGUCUGAUUAGCUAGUUGGUGGGGUAAUGGCUCACCAAGGCUUCGAUCAGUAUCCGGCCUGAGAGGGCGGACGGACACACUGGGACUGAGACACGGCCCAGACUCCUACGGGAGGCAGCAGUGGGGAAUUGUUCGCAAUGGGCGCAAGCCUGACGACGCAACGCCGCGUGGAGGAUGAAGACCUUCGGGUCGUAAACUCCUUUCGAUCGAGACGAACGGCCUCUGGGUUAACAGCCCAGGGGAGUGACGGUACCGAGAGAAGAAGCCCCGGCUAACUCCGUGCCAGCCGCUGC
RNAcentral lists this ribosomal RNA (520 nucleotides) under uncultured bacterium. RNAcentral's name for it is "bacterial SSU rRNA". It matches the Rfam family "Bacterial small subunit ribosomal RNA", at positions 19 to 518 of the family's 1533-position model. The record is from RNAcentral.